UGGGGAAGCCGAGCGCUUCCCAGCGUGCUUUGCAGAGAGCAGGGCGCCGCGCGCGGCGGCAGCCGGAGGAGAUCCGCGCGGCGCGUCUUUGCGCGGCGUCUCUCCCUCUCUGUCUGGCUUCCGCGCGCUCGCUGCUGUCUCCAGGGCCUUCUUGGUGCAGAUUCACUGUGCCGGCCGCCGGGACGGAGGCGGCGCUGGGGAGAAACCAUGGAGGUGCCCUGCUGCAAGCGGGGGCCAAGGAAGAGGCUCCCGCUCGCCACGGAGAUCCUUGAAGUGCCGUGGCAACCUACUCUCGAUUGGAUGCCUCUUUUCCCAGACUGAGUCUCUCUUAUCUUCUGGCUCAUCAAUGUAGCACUGACUUCCUUUGAGAUGUGACCUUAAAUAUUGGAGCUAUGAGUGGGAUAGCCAAAGCCGGAAAAGGAAAAUCAAGCAAGGAGCAAGGAGAGAUAGAUUUUAGAGUCACACCAAAACCAUGUUCUUAUGUCUUCCCCCAGGUGGCGCCAUAACUCCAGUUCUCCAUAUGAGUGGAUACAGAAGAAGCCCUGGUGUGUUAGUUAAAAUACUUUGCGUGUGUCAAGUUGGAGACGGAACAGCAUUACAACUAAGAAGUCUUGGCUUUCACCCUCUCCACCGCUUCCCCAUUCACAAUGUGAGCUUCAGUCUUCGUACCACUAUACCUCUGCUACCCCCCACUGCUACGAAAACAAUGCUGAUGAAAGCACAUCUUUACUCUUAGCCAGAGAUGUGGGAUUCACAUUUUUAUGGAUUGCACCUCCCACAGCAAAUGUCAUUUUUCCUCGGGCUGAUAAGAGCAAGGAACUCAGCAUCAUCAGGAAACCUACUGAUUCAUCAUUGUUCUGGACCAACACAGAGAUUUUUUUCCCUUCAGCAGAUCAACAGACUCAGCAAUUGCACUAAGUUUUGUUAUAUUGAUAUAUUUUCAUGUAUUAUAUAAAAAUAAUUACAUAUUGUAUUUUUAUANAUAUUCUACAAGGCUUAAAAUAAAAUCUUCAAACACUCAAAAAGAACCA
Molecule: long non-coding RNA, 1031 nt
Filed under: Salvator merianae (Argentine black and white tegu)
Lineage: Eukaryota; Metazoa; Chordata; Lepidosauria; Squamata; Teiidae
Description: lncRNA (ENSSMRG00000004377.1)
Source: RNAcentral